Molecule: ribosomal RNA, 413 nt
Filed under: Amynthas vittatus
Lineage: Eukaryota; Metazoa; Annelida; Clitellata; Crassiclitellata; Megascolecidae
Description: partial 12S ribosomal RNA
Source: RNAcentral
AUUAGAUACCCGUCUAUUCAUGACAUAUAAUAAUAGUUGAAUAUUACGAACAACAGUUUAAAAUUCAAAGAUUUUGGCGGUGUCUUAUAAAACCAGGGGAACCUGUCUCAUAACUCGAUAAUCCACGUAUACUCAACCUUCCUUAGAUAUCAGCAUGUGUACUGCCGUUGUAAGCAUACCUUUAAAAGUAAGUAUGCUACCAUGAUUAAAUACCACAUACAUCAGGUCAAAGUGCAGCUAAUAAGAAGGUGAUGAUGGGUUACAACCCUAAAUAAGAUAAUCAACUAAGAAAUAAAAAAUUUUACGAAAGUGGACUUGGCUGUAAUUAAUUUAUAAGUUAAAGAAAUGAAUAAAUCUCUAAGACAUGCACACAUCGCCCGUCACUCUAUCCUAAAGGUUAGAUAAGUCGUAAC